AGAGUUUGAUCCUGGCUCAGGACAAACGCUGGCGGCGUGCGUAACACAUGCAAGUCGAACGGGGGUGUGGUUUUCGGACCACAUUCGAGUGGCGGACGGGUGCGUAACACGUGGAUAACCUACCCAGAGGUGGGGGAUACCCGGUAGAAAUACCGGCUAAGACCGCAUGCGGUGACCUAUGCGUGAGGUGUGGGUCAAGAAAGGCCACUCGUAGGAGUGGCCGCCUUUGGAGGGGUCUGCGGGCGAUUAGCUAGUUGGUGGGGUAAGAGCCUACCAAGGCAGCGAUCGGUAGCUGGUCUGAGAGGAUGAUCAGCCACACUGGGAUUGAGAACGGCCCAGACUCCUACGGGGGGCAGCAGUGAGGGAUCUUCGUCAAUGGGGGCAACCCUGAACGAGCAACGCCGCGUGUGGGACGACGGCCUUCGGGUUGUAAACCACUUUUCUCGGGGACGAGACAGGACGGUACCCGAGGAAGAAGUCUCGGCUAACUACGUGCCAGCAGCCGCGGUAAUACGUAGGAGACGAGCGUUGUCCGGAGUUACUGGGCGUAAAGGGUGCGCAGGCGGCCUGGCGCGUCGCGAGUGAAAUCUCCUGGCUCAACUGGGAGGGUGGUCGCGAGACGGCUGGGCUUGAGGCUCGGUGAGGGGCGUGGAAUUCCGGGUGGAGCGGUGAAAUGCGUAGAGAUCCGGAGGAACACCGACGGCGUAGGCAGCGCCCUAGACGAGACCUGACGCUCAGGCACGAAAGCGCGGGGAGCGAACAGGAUUAGAUACCCUGGUAGUCCGCGCCGUAAACGAUGUCCACCAGGUGUUGGGGGUAUCGACCCCUCCAGCGCCGCAGCUAACGUGAUGAGUGGACCGCCUGGGGAGUACGGCCGCAAGGUUAAAACUCAAAGGAAUUGACGG
RNAcentral lists this ribosomal RNA (905 nucleotides) under uncultured bacterium. RNAcentral describes it as "bacterial SSU rRNA". It matches the Rfam family "Bacterial small subunit ribosomal RNA", at positions 8 to 916 of the family's 1533-position model. The record is from RNAcentral.